AGCUGACCUGCGAAUGAACAAACGUGAAUUAACGGAUAGAAAUGAAGGCCUAGCGACCAUCUCACCGCCACAAACAACUCAAAGGCUGUCGUGGUUCCCCGACCUCCCCUCCCCUCUGGUUCUGUCCAGACACAUCGUCUCACCGCAGGAUUCCGAGCAGCGACCGGUAAUCAAACACGGUUAUAUUUCUGCAGUGCUGUGUGUAGAAGCCAGCUAACUGAGGUACGGAAAGACUCUCAACAGCUUCAUUACAGUCAAGGCCAGGUUUUGCUGCCAAGCAGAAUCUCUGACAUGUCUCUGAGUGGCAGAGCCGUUGCCUCAUCUCAGCCAAGGGAAUCUCAGGUCCUGCCAAACACUCCUUGCCUUCAGCUGCUCCCGUCCGGUCGUCUACAAUGUGUGGUUCUUCCCACUUCUGCACUUCGACUUAGCUAAGUAUUUGCAUCUGAAAAAUGAACUCUAGUAAAUGGAGGCCUCUCAGCUCUCCCAAUUUCUCUUCCUAUUUCUUAAGUAACAUCUCUACUGUUGUUUUUUCUUCACACCUGACCUUCAGGUGACUUUCUGCUGCACCACAGCCCCUCCGCCCUCUAUAUUCUGGGCAAGUGGAGCCCUCAUAAGUCUUGCUGUUCUUCUGUCUUCUUCUCUUGGCUCCAUGUGUCUGCCUUAUCUUCUUUUUCUGGGAAUGUUCCUGUUUAAAACACCUCCUACUUACCCGUUUCCUUCAUCCACUUGGCUGCCAGUCCCCAGCCCGGGGAGGUCUGGGAACACUUUUCAACAUUUCUGUCAACUUGGGCAGAACCUACCUUGUCUGAAUCAGGCUGUGCAGGCCAAAGUCAGGUCUCUGUUCUGGAAAUGUAUUAGUUCAGUGUGGUGGCCAGGUUCAUGCAUACUGAUGCAGGAAAAGCAGGGAGAUCCGGACUCCAUUAAAAGAAGGAUAUGAGGUGCACAGGGGCAGCUAUGGAAGAUCUUGGCAGAAGCGCUGCAGGUGGGGGAACCAGGUAUCUUGGGGCUCUGAGCUGGAGCACAGGAAAGAGAGGGAGGGAGCCGAGAGUGCAGGCUGUAUCCUGUAGGACCCUGUGGGUCUGGGAAGUACUGUGGGUUUUAUUCCAGGUGUAACAAUCUCUGAGGGGCUUUAAAGGGAGAGGAUGGUGAUGUUUUAAAAAGGUCUUUCUGGCUGCCACAUGUGGACCAUCUCCACGCCCCCUCCUUCCUACUCCAGCUUUCAACUUCCUUCUUCCUUUGGCCAGUCCCUCUCUUUUUGGUUGUCCCUCGGUUUGAGAGAGACAUCCCCAUAGGUAUUCCUAGGACUCCUCUCUUUUAACUACCAUUUGCACAAGCCUCUAUACUUUUCUUGCAUGUGGAUAAACUUAGAUCUGCUUUACUUCUUGAUGCUCUCCUGGUGGUUUUAGGUGACAGACCCAGGGCGCAAACCAGAGCCUUGAAUGGUCAAUGUUCUCUACACUCUGAGGGCAGUCGACUGUGUUCUGAGUGCAUCUAGGUCCAAGUGUGGAGGGAGGAUCUUGCAGAGUCCCUCUGGAGCCCACGGUCUGGAAGGAGCCAACAGCAUUAAGGACGAACUGUCUGACAAGAAGAGCAAAGCCUGCUUCAGCCUGUUUGGGCUGGUGUAACAAAAUACUAGAGCGGGCAGCUUAUAAACAAGACAUUUAUUUCUCACAGCUCUGGAGGC
Pteropus alecto (black flying fox) is the source of this 1684-nucleotide long non-coding RNA. RefSeq lists it as uncharacterized. NCBI's taxonomy places the organism in Eukaryota, Metazoa, Chordata, Mammalia, Chiroptera, Pteropodidae. The transcript has 3 exons. The record is from RefSeq and is a predicted model, not a curated record.